GGAGGCGUGGCAGAGCGGCCGAAUGCAUCCGCCUUGAAAGCGGAAGACGGGUGACACCGUCCGGGGGUUCAAAUCCCUCCGCCUCCG
This 87-nucleotide transfer RNA is filed under the name Sciscionella sp. Its description in RNAcentral is "tRNA-Ser". It matches the Rfam family "tRNA". From Rfam's summary of the family: Transfer RNA (tRNA) molecules are approximately 80 nucleotides in length. Their secondary structure includes four short double-helical elements and three loops (D, anti-codon, and T loops). The record is from RNAcentral. Lineage: Bacteria; Bacillati; Actinomycetota; Actinomycetes; Pseudonocardiales; Pseudonocardiaceae.